GGAUAUCAUCGUAUACUGUAAGUCGGCUAUGAGACACUACAGUAUAGAUGAUGUACUA
RNAcentral lists this microRNA precursor (58 nucleotides) under Alligator mississippiensis (American alligator). Its description in RNAcentral is "Ami-Mir-144_pre stem-loop". It matches the Rfam family "mir-144 microRNA precursor family", at positions 11 to 68 of the family's 78-position model. The record is from RNAcentral. Lineage: Eukaryota; Metazoa; Chordata; Crocodylia; Alligatoridae.